RNAcentral lists this ribosomal RNA (1445 nucleotides) under Microbacterium trichothecenolyticum. RNAcentral's name for it is "bacterial SSU rRNA". It matches the Rfam family "Bacterial small subunit ribosomal RNA". The record is from RNAcentral. Lineage: Bacteria; Bacillati; Actinomycetota; Actinomycetes; Micrococcales; Microbacteriaceae.
GAUGAACGCUGGCGGCGUGCUUAACACAUGCAAGUCGAACGGUGAAGCCAAGCUUGCUUGGUGGAUCAGUGGCGAACGGGUGAGUAACACGUGAGCAACCUGCCCUGGACUCUGGGAUAAGCGCUGGAAACGGCGUCUAAUACUGGAUAUGAGCUCUCAUCGCAUGGUGGGGGUUGGAAAGAUUUUUCGGUCUGGGAUGGGCUCGCGGCCUAUCAGCUUGUUGGUGAGGUAAUGGCUCACCAAGGCGUCGACGGGUAGCCGGCCUGAGAGGGUGACCGGCCACACUGGGACUGAGACACGGCCCAGACUCCUACGGGAGGCAGCAGUGGGGAAUAUUGCACAAUGGGCGGAAGCCUGAUGCAGCAACGCCGCGUGAGGGAUGACGGCCUUCGGGUUGUAAACCUCUUUUAGCAGGGAAGAAGCGAGAGUGACGGUACCUGCAGAAAAAGCGCCGGCUAAAUACGUGCCAGCAGCCGCGGUAAUACGUAGGGCGCAAGCGUUAUCCGGAAUUAUUGGGCGUAAAGAGCUCGUAGGCGGUUUGUCGCGUCUGCUGUGAAAUCCCGAGGCUCAACCUCGGGCCUGCAGUGGGUACGGGCAGACUAGAGUGCGGUAGGGGAGAUUGGAAUUCCUGGUGUAGCGGUGGAAUGCGCAGAUAUCAGGAGGAACACCGAUGGCGAAGGCAGAUCUCUGGGCCGUAACUGACGCUGAGGAGCGAAAGGGUGGGGAGCAAACAGGCUUAGAUACCCUGGUAGUCCACCCCGUAAACGUUGGGAACUAGUUGUGGGGACCAUUCCACGGUUUCCGUGACGCAGCUAACGCAUUAAGUUCCCCGCCUGGGGAGUACGGCCGCAAGGCUAAAACUCAAAGGAAUUGACGGGGACCCGCACAAGCGGCGGAGCAUGCGGAUUAAUUUCGAUGCAACGCGAAGAACCUUACCAAGGCUUGACAUACACCAGAACACCGUAGAAAUACGGGACUCUUUGGACACUGGUGAACAGGUGGUGCAUGGUUGUCGUCAGCUCGUGUCGUGAGAUGUUGGGUUAAGUCCCGCAACGAGCGCAACCCUCGUUCUAUGUUGCCAGCACGUAAUGGUGGGAACUCAUGGGAUACUGCCGGGGUCAACUCGGAGGAAGGUGGGGAUGACGUCAAAUCAUCAUGCCCCUUAUGUCUUGGGCUUCACGCAUGCUACAAUGGCCGGUACAAAGGGCUGCAAUACCGUGAGGUGGAGCGAAUCCCAAAAAGCCGGUCCCAGUUCGGAUUGAGGUCUGCAACUCGACCUCAUGAAGUCGGAGUCGCUAGUAAUCGCAGAUCAGCAACGCUGCGGUGAAUACGUUCCCGGGUCUUGUACACACCGCCCGUCAAGUCAUGAAAGUCGGUAACACCUGAAGCCGGUGGCCCAACCCUUGUGGAGGGAGCCGUCGAAGGUGGGAUCGGUAAUUAGGACU